Molecule: ribosomal RNA, 712 nt
Filed under: uncultured bacterium
Lineage: Bacteria
Description: bacterial SSU rRNA
Rfam family: Bacterial small subunit ribosomal RNA
Source: RNAcentral
GGCUUAGAUACCCUGGUAGUCCACGCUGUAAACGGUGGGUACUAGGUGUGGGGUCCAUUCCACGGGUUCCGUGCCGUAGCUAACGCUUUAAGUACCCCGCCUGGGGAGUACGGCCGCAAGGCUAAAACUCAAAGGAAUUGACGGGGCCCCGCACAAGCGGCGGAGCAUGCGGAUUAAUUCGAUGCAACGCGUAGAACCUUACCUGGGUUUGACAUGGAUCGGGAGUGCUCAGAGAUGGGUGUGCCUCUUUUGGGGUCGGUUCACAGGUGGUGCAUGGCUGUCGUCAGCUCGUGUCGUGAGAUGUUGGGUUAAGUCCCGCAACGAGCGCAACCCUUGUUCACUGUUGCCAGCACGUUAUGGUGGGGACUCAGUGGAGACCGCCGGGGUCAACUCGGAGGAAGGUGGGGAUGACGUCAAGUCAUCAUGCCCCUUAUGUCCAGGGCUUCACGCAUGCUACAAUGGCUGGUACAGAGAGUGGCGAGCCUGUGAGGGUGAGCGAAUCUCGGAAAGCCGGUCUCAGUUCGGAUUGGGGUCUGCAACUCGACCUCAUGAAGUCGGAGUCGCUAGUAAUCGCAGAUCAGCAACGCUGCGGUGAAUACGUUCCCGGGGCUUGUACACACCGCCCGUCAAGUCAUGAAAGUUGGUAACACCCGAAGCCGGUGGCCUAACCGUUGUGGGGGAGCCGUCGAAGGUGGGACUGGUGAUUAGGACU